GAAUCAAAGCCAAUAUACAGACAUUCACAUUCCAGUAUAAGGAAGUUCAGUUCAUUUUAAAAAAAUAGUAUACCUUCAAAAUAUAGAAAUACAAACUUGAUAAUGUUCACUGGCUGAGAUAUACAGCUUGAGAAUAUCCAUGAUCUUUAUCACUUUCCCGAGAAACAGUAGGAAAAUAUCAGCAAACAAUCCCUAAGUGAAUAAAAGUUCACAGGUUUAAGGGCAACAAGAUGAGAACCAUCAACAAUUCUUUCCAUAUCCUAUUAAAGCAUCUUGCAUUGUGUCCUCAAAAAUAAACCACCCAUCUUCUAACUAUAUAUAUAUCUUCUAACUAUAUAUAUAUCGGCCGUUUAUUAAAUUCUCAUAUCGAUCCACCAGCUCCAGUGUAUCCUAGCUACUCUGGACAAGGUAAGUAUUGUUGGGUGGUCAAGAAAUGGCUGCAAGCAAUCUUCAAUUAAGCAAUGCUAAAUUACUUUCUGUUUUAGAUGCAAAAAGCAAAUCGUACGGGAUGGAAUCCAUAAAGUGCAGAGGCAGGUGUCAAAUUAUGAUGUCCACAAAGUAUUCAUAGUAUGUAACUGACCAAAAUCAGUAGAUUUCAAGGACAUCUUGUAAAGCUCCCUGAGCUUUCCAGUAUCAGGCCUGUUAGAUGCUGAGGUUGGCUGGACAGCAGCUGGAGAUCUAUUUGUAUUUGCAGAGAGCAUUGAAGCCAACAUUUUCUUUAAGAGCAUCUGUAAAUGACCCCAAAAUUGGGCAUGUACCUCAGGAUAAUCAGUUCCAAACGAAUCUGAAGUCGCUUCAGAUACAAAGCGUCCUUCAAGCAUGCGAGAUAGAGCAGAUUCUAGCAUCUGGAACAAUAGCUACUCAUCAGUAGAAUAUUCGUUAGAUAGAAGCAGUUGUGAUUAAACCUGUCAAUUGCUUCACCACUUUUUGACUAUUAGAUACUCGUUGACACAGAGGGGGGGUUUGAUAACAUCACUAAGCAUUUAAAAUUAAAAAUUUCAGAACUUUUUUAUUUUAAAUUUGUUUUGAUAAUGCACAUCUACAUAUCGUUUAAAAGUUUCAAUCAAGCGAAAAUUCUCUUAAAAUAGCAAGUCAAAAUUUUUAAUUUCAAAUAAAAAGUCACAUAUAUCAAACUAAUUUAUUAGAUUUAGCACUUUAUUUUCAGCAUAUACCAAACAACUUUAUAAUUUAAAAUUUACAUCAUUUAUGUCAUUCAACACUUUUAACUCUCAAAUUUUCAGUUUUACAAAAUGCUACCUAAGUGAAAUGAGUGUAACUUCGAAAUUUACACCAAAUGCUUAACAUAAAAACUCAGAUAUUUUAAUUACUCCAUCCAGCCUUUGUUAUAAUUCUAAGUUUGACCUAGCAGGUUCAAAAAGCAAUACCUCAGAUUUUCAAAAGACACUAAUGUUUGGCACCAUUCUACCUUCUGUAAUAAUUAUAAACAUUUUAUGCUAAAGAAAAUCAACCAACAUCUUUCUUAAAAAGUGCUGCUGUUAAAUAAGAAGUAAGUUGAAGAACGUACUGCGUUUGGAUGUAAGACACUAGAGAGGCUUAAUGAAAGUGCUGAUCUUUCUGUAAGAAUAGUUAUAUACAUGCUGGGAUGUGUCUUUGGUCCAUAAAAUUCUAUUGCUUUUUGCCAGUUCCUCUCAGCCAAGGAAGCAUAUUGCUUCACCCGCUGGAUAAUGCCAUUUUCACCUUUAGGCAAGUUCUUAUGAUCUGACUCCAAAAAUUUUAAACAGCAGUCUCUUUGGCAGCAAGCAAGCUGAAAGUAAGCAUAGGCAGCCUCCUGCUUGCGUAAUUCACCCAAAGAUUCAUACACAGACAACGCCUCCCUAAUGGCAUCAUUGGCCGAAAUCUCAUGCUUUCUCAAUUCUGUCCUAGCUCUUUUAUCACCAGGACUAAUAUGAACUUCCAAGGCUCCAUUCUCAUAGACUUCUGCAGUAAUAUCUUCUCUAGCCAAAAGCAUGCCAAGCCUCAGAUAUGUAUGGGCAUAUUGUGUAUAUACUUCAUUCAUCAGGUUCUUUGACUCUAAGUUGUCCUCUUCUGCAAUAGCAAUCAGUUCUGAUUUUGCUGCCCCAUAAUAUUUAAGUGAUUCAGAAUAUUCCAGUUUUGCAGUUUGCAAAGCUUGUUUACAUGUUUUAUGGAAGAUUGAGAGGGCUUUCAAACUUUCAAACUUUGAUACCAUCUCUUCAGCCAAUGCUCGUCUGCCAUGGCCUAAAUUACAAUUGAUUAAUAUGAUGUUGGUGUGAUCAGAAACUUCUCUAAAUGCAGAUAUGGCACCAGCAAAUGCAAGUUCCGCUUUUUUCAACUCUUUUCUUCCAAGCCUAUUUCGACCCAGUUCAUUGCAAACCCACCCUAUCUUUUUAAUUACAGAUUGUAGUUCAACUGAGCCUGUAGAAAUUCCAGCCAAUGCUUUUCUGGCUUCUUCAUAACAACUUAAAGCAGUAGAAAGAUUGUGUUCUGCAUCUCCAGCAACAAAAUCACUAACAUACUUAAAUAUCCCACCAUUCUUCAUUUUUGGCAUUUCUUUUGAAGUGGUUUCACUUUGAAAUGGCACCAUGAACCCUUCUUCAUGCACUUCCUCUCCACUGUUAGAAUUAAUGGUUACUGAGAAAUUUACUCCAAACUUAUCCGCUGCAACUCCAGAUGGUGCUACUGAAGUAUCGCCAUUUCUAUCAAGCUGGAGAUAUUCACUGUUAGAACUCCUAUUCUCCACUCUCUGAUGACAGUGGCUAUCAUCAGCGUCUCCACAGAGUGAGGAAGUGGUACUCUUUACAUAAGAUCUUUUACCAUGCUUCCUGCCAUAAACUACAGAGUGCUUAUCUCCACUGCUACUGCUGGCACUGCUCCCACUGCUGACCCUAUCACUUUGGCAGCUGCAGUUUACUAAAGAACAUGAACUGCAAUUCUGCAUAUACUGACCCAGCCUCUUCUUUAGCCUUUGAACUUCCUUCACAACCUCAGAUGACAUUCUCAAUUCUUUGGCAGAAGGAUUCCUGUCUGCUUGUAUUGAGAGCUCUUUACCCUUUAUGAAAUGAAACUCAACAUAAACAUCUCCAACCAAUGUCCAUGCCUUUGCCCAAAAGAGGUACGUGGAAGAAAAACGCUCAAAAGCAAGACAGUCAUCAUCAGAACUGGAUUCCAUUUCCUUUGCAUCACCAAUAUAUGAUAUUUUCUUCUCAUUUUUGUCAUUGCAUUUUGUUAGGGAUGAAUAUUUAAUCAUCGAGGAAAUAAACCUUGUAUCCUCCAAAUACUGUGGCAUCGAUCCAUAAACAGAACAUGCUAAUUCUACUACUUUCAACGCUUGAUGCAACUGGUUAUCUUCCUUAUAAGCUUGUCCCAAUGCCAAAUAAGAUUCUCCAAGCAAAAGAACAAGCUUCCACAAUUUGUAGUCUAUUUUGGAUGUUGGUAGCCAUUCUCGAAUGUCACAAACUUCUAUACAAUCAGCAUCACCACAAGCACAAACAGAAAGGUUUAUGGAUGAAGGUGGCCUAUCAUGAGUACUACUGACCUGAUCAAUUAAUUCUGCUUCAGUACCUUGUAGCUGGCGCAUCCAU
This 3560-nucleotide unclassified non-coding RNA is filed under the name Hevea brasiliensis (rubber tree). Lineage: Eukaryota; Viridiplantae; Streptophyta; Magnoliopsida; Malpighiales; Euphorbiaceae. The record is from RNAcentral.